AUUGAACGCUGGCGGCAUGCCUUACACAUGCAAGUCGAACGGCAGCACGGGGGCAACCCUGGUGGCGAGUGGCGAACGGGUGAGUAAUACAUCGGAACGUGCCCCGUAGCGGGGGACAACCAGUCGAAAGACUGGCUAAUACCGCAUACGCUCCACGGAGGAAAGCAGGGGAUCGCAAGACCUUGCACUAUGGGAGCGGCCGAUGCCCGAUUAGCUAGUUGGUGCGGUAAUGGCGUACCAAGGCGACGAUCGGUAGCCGGCCUGAGAGGGCGGACGGCCACACUGGCACUGAGAGACGGGCCAGACUCCUACGGGAGGCAGCAGUGGGGAAUUUUGGGCAAUGGGCGCAAGCCUGACCCAGCAACGCCGCGUGAAGGACGAAAUCCCUCUGGGAU
This 395-nucleotide ribosomal RNA is filed under the name uncultured bacterium. Its description in RNAcentral is "bacterial SSU rRNA". It matches the Rfam family "Bacterial small subunit ribosomal RNA", at positions 29 to 424 of the family's 1533-position model. The record is from RNAcentral.